This 73-nucleotide transfer RNA is filed under the name Staphylococcus aureus. RNAcentral's name for it is "tRNA-Lys". It matches the Rfam family "tRNA". Rfam says of the family: Transfer RNA (tRNA) molecules are approximately 80 nucleotides in length. Their secondary structure includes four short double-helical elements and three loops (D, anti-codon, and T loops). Further hydrogen bonds mediate the characteristic L-shaped molecular structure. tRNAs have two regions of fundamental functional importance: the anti-codon, which is responsible for specific mRNA codon recognition, and the 3' end, to which the tRNAs corresponding amino acid is attached (by aminoacyl-tRNA synthetases). tRNAs cope with the degeneracy of the genetic code in two manners: having more than one tRNA (with a specific anti-codon) for a particular amino acid; and 'wobble' base-pairing, i.e. permitting non-standard base-pairing at the 3rd anti-codon position. The record is from RNAcentral. Lineage: Bacteria; Bacillati; Bacillota; Bacilli; Caryophanales; Staphylococcaceae.
GAGCAAUUAGCUCAGCUGGUAGAGCAUCUGACUUUUAAUCAGAGGGUCAGAGGUUCGAAUCCUCUAUGGCUCA